Molecule: non-coding RNA, 72 nt
Organism: Rhypophila decipiens
Lineage: Eukaryota; Fungi; Ascomycota; Sordariomycetes; Sordariales; Naviculisporaceae
Source: the annotation of a GenBank genome assembly
GGUCAUGUAGCUCAGCGGUAGAGCGUUGCAAGUGAAUUGCAAAGGCUGUAGGUUCGACUCCUACCAUGACCA